Oreochromis niloticus (Nile tilapia) is the source of this 662-nucleotide long non-coding RNA. RefSeq lists it as uncharacterized. The transcript has 3 exons. The record is from RefSeq and is a predicted model, not a curated record. NCBI's taxonomy places the organism in Eukaryota, Metazoa, Chordata, Actinopteri, Cichliformes, Cichlidae.
CAGCACCACAUUCACACCAGAGUUUUUGAAGUGUUUUAGAGCAGUGGGUUGAUGUGGAUGGUUGUUUGUCCUUGUAUAUUAUGUGCAUGUGAUCACAGCCCUGGGCCCUGUCCUCAGGCCUACGUCUUCCUUCUGCUCUCUUUCAGGUGCUGUUUGUUUUCUGUGUCGUUUCCUCUUUUUCCUUUUUUUGAAUCUCUUUCCUUCUUCUAAUUUCUUCUUCCUAAUCUGGACCUCCCCACCUGUCAGCUCUGACACUGUUAUAGUAAAGAUGUGCUGAUGAAGAAAACAACUAAAGAUCAUUGAGAAACAGAUGUCAUGGUCCUCCAGUCCUCUCUGACUUCCUGUCAGUGCUGUUGUUGUUCCUCUCUCUCUCUCCUGCUGUCCUCUCCACCUGGGUGGUGCACCACUCCGGGUUCCUGCCUUUGGCCAAAGCAACUGCUGCUCAUCAUCCUCAUCCGAUGCUUAAGGUGGUGGCUGAGCUGUAGUCUUUGCUGGAUUGUUGUACUUACCUUAGUUACUGUAACCAUGGUUCUCACACUAUCUCUUGCUUCCUUUGUCGUGUUUCUGAUUUGGAUGUGUUUCCCUUCCCUGGAUUCCCUGGAGCUCACUUUCCCUUCACCAUUGUUUAAAGCACCUGGUGUCACUUCUGUAAAUAAAGUCAC